GUCAGUAGCUGUACCACCUGCAGUUCAGACUAGGAAAUCUACCUAAAGCUAAGCAGGUUUGGCCCUGGCCUGUAGUGGAAUGGGAGACCAAGUAGGAAAGCUGGACUGCUGCUGUUG
This 117-nucleotide ribosomal RNA is filed under the name Paramormyrops kingsleyae. Lineage: Eukaryota; Metazoa; Chordata; Actinopteri; Osteoglossiformes; Mormyridae. The record is from RNAcentral.